RNAcentral lists this long non-coding RNA (354 nucleotides) under Phascolarctos cinereus (koala). Its description in RNAcentral is "lncRNA (ENSPCIG00000034888.1)". Lineage: Eukaryota; Metazoa; Chordata; Mammalia; Diprotodontia; Phascolarctidae. The record is from RNAcentral.
UUUUUGGCUUCUGUCACUAGAUGGGAAAUAUCUUGGGAGAGGGGAAAGAUUGUACCUAGUGUGAGUUGAGAAGGCUACACUAGAGAAGAGAAAGGAAGAAGGGAAUUCAUCUUGGAACAUCUAUUCCAUUUCUUCGUCUAGUAAUGAAAUUUCUAAGCAAAGCUUCUAAAGAUUUGGAGAAGAUAGAAAACAACCCAAAAGGCUAAAACACUAUUGUACUUGUAUCGCAGAAUUUCCUGGAAAACUGAUGUUCUGUUGGCCUGAAGAAUUUACUUUUCUUCUAAAAGUGAGCAGUUUACUCCUUCUUCUCUGGUAAGAUGUAACUCUUUAUUUUAAAUUUGUUCCAUGUCUGAU